UUAUACAGCGAAACUGCGAAUGGCUCAUUAUAUAAGUUAUCGUUUAUUUGAUAGUACCUUACUACUUGGAUAACCGUGGUAAUUCUAGAGCUAAUACAUGCUAAAAAUCCCGACUUCGGAAGGGAUGUAUUUAUUAGAUUAAAAACCAAUGCCCUUCGGGGCUCCUUGGUGAUUCAUGAUAACUCCUCGAAUCGCAUGGCCUUGUGCCGGCGAUGGUUCAUUCAAAUUUCUUCCCUAUCAACUUUCGAUGUUUGGGUAUUGGCCAAACAUGGUUGCAACGGGUAACGGAGGGUUAGGGCUCGACCCCGGAGAAGGAGCCUGAGAAACGGCUACUACAUCCAAGGAAGGCAGCAGGCGCGCAAAUUACCCAAUCCCGACACGGGGAGGUAGUGACAAUAAAUACUGAUACAGGGCUCUUUCGGGUCUUGUAAUUGGAAUGAGUACAAUUUAAAUCCCUUAACGAGGAACAAUUGGAGGGCAAGUCUGGUGCCAGCAGCCGCGGUAAUUCCAGCUCCAAUAGCGUAUAUUAAAGUUGUUGUGGUUAAAAAGCUCGUAGUUGAACCUUGGGCCUGGCUGGCCGGUCCGCCUCACCGCGUGUACUGGUCCGGCCGGGCCUUUCCCUCUGUGGAACCCCAUGCCCUUCACUGGGUGUGGCGGGGAAACAGGACUUUUACUUUGAAAAAAUUAGAGUGCUCCAGGCAGGCCUAUGCUCGAAUACAUUAGCAUGGAAUAAUAGAAUAGGACGUGUGGUUCUAUUUUGUUGGUUUCUAGGACCGCCGUAAUGAUUAAUAGGGACAGUCGGGGGCAUCAGUAUUCAAUUGUCAGAGGUGAAAUUCUUGGAUUUAUUGAAGACUAACUACUGCGAAAGCAUUUGCCAAGGAUGUUUUCAUUAAUCAGGAACGAAAGUUAGGGGAUCGAAGACGAUCAGAUACCGUCGUAGUCUUAACCAUAAACUAUGCCGACUAGGGAUCGGACGAUGUUAUUUUUUGACUCGUUCGGCACCUUACGAGAAAUCAAAGUGCUUGGGCUCC
Molecule: ribosomal RNA, 1031 nt
Filed under: Baipadisphaeria spathulospora
Lineage: Eukaryota; Fungi; Ascomycota; Sordariomycetes; Hypocreales; Nectriaceae
Description: SSU rRNA
Rfam family: Eukaryotic small subunit ribosomal RNA
Source: RNAcentral